Molecule: long non-coding RNA, 436 nt
Organism: Bactrocera dorsalis (oriental fruit fly)
Lineage: Eukaryota; Metazoa; Arthropoda; Insecta; Diptera; Tephritidae
Exons: 2
Source: RefSeq, a predicted model, not a curated record
AGAGACUUGCAACUAUGCAAAAUAUUCUCAAUUACAUUUUUCAAUUGCCCACUACUGUGUCUUUGGAGCGCUAUUGUUGUUCUCCACAGGAAUCGGGGUCUAUUUUGGCUAUAAGAAAGAAACCAGUUAAACCAAAUCGCGAUGAGGAACCGAACAUUAACAGUAGUUAUGGCAAAGCUAAGUACACUAACUAUGUACAUAGUUUUUAUGCGAUAAUGGCACUAACUACUUAAUGGUAUCUCAGUCGCUUUCUUCUUAUUAUGCGCUUAGUACAUUUUUGGUUUCUGAUUUGGGUGGAAGCAUUCUUUUGAUUUGCUAAGUAUAAAACGAAUUAAUUUCGGUCGACAUAAUAUAUGAUUAUAACAGUAUUUUCCUUAAAACCACUUGUUUUAAAAAAUAAUCCUGUAAAAGGUUUGAAACCCACGAAAUGGAGUAC